CUGGCUCAGAUUGAACGCUGGCGGCGUGCCUAACACAUGCAAGUCGAACGAGGAAGUCCCUCGGGGGCGAGUACAGUGGCGCACGGGUGAGUAACGCGUGGAUAAUCUACCCAAAGGUCUGGAAUAACAGUUGGAAACGACUGAUAAUACCGGAUGUACUGGCAACGGGAAAGUGGCCUCUGCUUGCAAGCUACUGCCUUUGGAUGAGUCCGCGUCUCAUUAGCUAGACGGUAGGGUAACGGCCUACCGUGGCAACGAUGAGUAGCAGGCCUGAGAGGGUGGCCUGCCACACUGGGACUGGAACACGGCCCAGACUCCUACGGGAGGCAGCAGUGGGGAAUAUUGCGCAAUGGGGGAAACCCUGACGCAGCGACGCCGCGUGGAGGAUGAAGGCUUUCGGGUCGUAAACUCCUGUCAAGAGGGAAGAAACCUGUGAAGAGUAAUAUGCUUCGCAAUUGACGGUACCUCUAGAGGAAGCACCGGCUAAUUCCGUGCCAGCCGCCGC
This 505-nucleotide ribosomal RNA is filed under the name uncultured bacterium. RNAcentral describes it as "bacterial SSU rRNA". It matches the Rfam family "Bacterial small subunit ribosomal RNA", at positions 19 to 518 of the family's 1533-position model. The record is from RNAcentral.